Molecule: long non-coding RNA, 405 nt
Organism: Tarenaya hassleriana
Lineage: Eukaryota; Viridiplantae; Streptophyta; Magnoliopsida; Brassicales; Cleomaceae
Exons: 2
Source: RefSeq, a predicted model, not a curated record
UGAAUCUAAAUUGCUUGAUUCUAUAGAUUUGAAAAAAUUUGAGUCGAAGCGAAUCCAAACCCAAAACCUUCGGGCCGAGUGCACAGAGAAAUGAUCCUACUAAAGCAACAUCAUGGGCGUGAGAGUUGGGAUAGUGGUCCUUUUCCUACUGGGUUUGGCCUUGUCCUGCGACGCUCGGAAACUCGGUUCACUUUUCCGGUAAGAAUUCCAGAGGUGUACACACAGACACAAUAAGAACGCAUCAUGCUAUGAGAAAGGGAAAGUUCUUGGAAAAGAUUGUAUAUUUAGUCUGAAAAUAAACCCAGUUCUGUUUGGGUCCAAUUAUUCCAUCCACUUCUCUUUGAUUUCGUACUUGGUCAUUUAUGUAAUUUUCAUCAAUUUGAACAAGAGGAAAAUUUAUCAGCA